Molecule: long non-coding RNA, 630 nt
Filed under: Equus caballus (horse)
Lineage: Eukaryota; Metazoa; Chordata; Mammalia; Perissodactyla; Equidae
Description: lncRNA (ENSECAG00000045763.1)
Source: RNAcentral
CCGGAACUAAGGGACUCAGGAACCAGAAGGCUGUGUAAACAAACCUUGCUAAUUUACUAUCUCAAGCCUUAACUCUGCUUCAAUUCCUCACUAAUUACAUACCUCAAACCUAAGUUUCUUUGUCCUGUCAUUCCUCACAAAUUUAUCGUUUCUUCGCAUAGAAGAUAUACAUACUGCCUGCUGUGUUCCCUCGCCAAGCGUCAUUGCUCUAUGAUCUCCAAUACGAGCAAAGAAAAUACAUGCACUCUAUAACCGCUUAUUACCCUGGAUUCCCUGUCACAGAGGUGGAGAGAAGAUUCUGACCAAUGGAAGACCAGAUAGGCUGAACAAGCCCAAGGUCACAGAGCAAAUCCUUGGAAGAAUGCGGACGACACAGCCAACUUUUUCACUGAAACUAUUAACUAUUGGACAAUCCCUCCCAAAAUUGCUUUCUUCCAUUUUGAUGUCUCUUUUCUUAAGGAGAAGUGAUACCAGAAAGACAGCUGAUUAUAAAUGAGAGAGAGAAAAUACUUCAGAAAGAAAAAAGUCUCAAACCUAUCUGGCAGUGACCAUUUUCUUGAUUUAAGCAGAGAAUGAUCUUUGUGUUUCCACAUGAGUGACCACAUUCAGCAAGAUAUAAUUGCCAAACAC